GCGGCGUGCCUAACACAUGCAAGUCGAACGGAGUUCUUAAGGAAUGCGACUUCGGUCAAAUGACUUUUGAACUUAGUGGCGGACGGGUGAGUAACGCGUGAGCAACCUGCCUUUCAGAGGGGGAUAACAUUUGGAAACAGAUGCUAAUACCGCAUAAGAUUACAGUACCGCAUGAUACAGUGAUCAAAGGAGCAAUCCGCUGAAAGAUGGGCUCGCGUCCGAUUAGAUAGUUGGUGAGGUAACGGCUCACCAAGUCGACGAUCGGUAGCCGGACUGAGAGGUUGAACGGCCACAUUGGGACUGAGACACGGCCCAGACUCCUACGGGAGGCAGCAGUGGGGAAUAUUGCACAAUGGGCGAAAGCCUGAUGCAGCAACGCCGCGUGAGGGAAGACGGUUUUCGGAUUGUAAACCUCUGUUUUCGGUGACGAAUAAAUGACGGUAACCGAGUAGGAAGCCACGGCUAACUACGUGCCAGCAGCCGCGGUAAUACGUAGGUGGCAAGCGUUAUCCGGAAUUACUGGGUGUAAAGGGAGCGCAGGCGGGAUAGCAAGUCAGCUGUGAAAACUAUGGGCUCAACCCAUAAACUGCAGUUGAAACUGUUAUUCUUGAGUGGAGUAGAGGCAAGCGGAAUUCCGAGUGUAGCGGUGAAAUGCGUAGAUAUUGGGAGGAACACCAGUGGCGAAGGCGGCUUGCUGGGCUUUAACUGACGCUGAGGCUCGAAAGUGUGGGGAGCAAACAGGAUUAGAUACCCUGGUAGUCCACACUGUAAACGAUGAUUGCUAGGUGUGGGGGGUCUGACCCCCUCCGUGCCGGAGUUAACGCAAUAAGCAAUCCACCUGGGGAGUACGGCCGCAAGGUUGAAAC
This 866-nucleotide ribosomal RNA is filed under the name uncultured bacterium. Its description in RNAcentral is "bacterial SSU rRNA". It matches the Rfam family "Bacterial small subunit ribosomal RNA", at positions 39 to 900 of the family's 1533-position model. The record is from RNAcentral.